This is a long non-coding RNA of Gavialis gangeticus (Gharial), 345 nucleotides long. RefSeq lists it as uncharacterized. The transcript is spliced from 3 exons. The record is from RefSeq and is a predicted model, not a curated record. NCBI's taxonomy places the organism in Eukaryota, Metazoa, Chordata, Crocodylia, Gavialidae.
AGGGUUUUUUUUCCCAUUUCUUUCUCUUUUUGGGGAAGAGACUACCUAUUGGUGUUUGGAUGAAGUAGUUUGGGCAGUGGGGCUUUUCUCUGGGUGGGUCUCAGCCUGUUUGUAAAGUUCUGGAUGGGAAAAAUAGUUUGGGGAACUUCCACAGUUGCUCUUCUCUGACACUCAAAAAGCAUAUCAAGCCCCUCCACAGCAAAGAAGAAAUAAGCAAGCAUCCUCCCUUGGGUAGCCAAGACAAAGAAAUGUUUCUGCGGAGGAUAAUACACAAUGUGGCCAAAGGAUUGAACAGCCCAAGGAGAGAGCACCACUUGUAUGUUCUGCAUGCAAGGACACACACAC